UACGUAGGUGGCAAGCGUUGUCCGGAUUUACUGGGCGUAAAGAGCGCGCAGGCGGUCGUUCAAGUCGCGUGUGAAAGCCCCCGGCUCAACUGGGGAGGGUCACGCGAUACUGAUCGACUCGAAGGCAGGAGAGGGUAGUGGAAUUCCCGGUGUAGUGGUGAAAUGCGUAGAUAUCAGGAGGAACACCGAUGGCGAAGGCAGGUCUCGCU
Molecule: ribosomal RNA, 209 nt
Filed under: uncultured bacterium
Lineage: Bacteria
Description: partial 16S ribosomal RNA
Rfam family: Bacterial small subunit ribosomal RNA
Source: RNAcentral